UACGUAGGGUGCGAGCGUUGUCCGGAAUUACUGGGCGUAAAGAGCUCGUAGGUGGUUUGUCGCGUUGUUCGUGAAAACUCACAGCUCAACUGUGGGCGUGCGGGCGAUACGGGCAGACUGGAGUACUGCAGGGGAGACUGGAAUUCCUGGUGUAGCGGUGGAAUGCGCAGAUAUCAGCAGGAACACCAGAGGCGAAGGCGGCGACCUGGCCAGAUACUGACACUGAGGAACGAAAGCGUGGGGAGCAAACAGG
This 253-nucleotide ribosomal RNA is filed under the name uncultured bacterium. RNAcentral describes it as "partial 16S ribosomal RNA". It matches the Rfam family "Bacterial small subunit ribosomal RNA", at positions 524 to 776 of the family's 1533-position model. The record is from RNAcentral.